UUGUUACGACAGGGGCGUCCCACCGCAGGGGCUGAGAUCUCGCUAGCGCGGGGAACCCUCCGAACCUGAUUGCGGGUCAUGCCGUCGAAGGGAGUCGCUCGGAGGGGGAA
This 110-nucleotide non-coding RNA is filed under the name Prosthecobacter debontii. Its description in RNAcentral is "TPP sequence". It matches the Rfam family "TPP riboswitch aptamer (THI element)". From Rfam's summary of the family: Vitamin B(1) in its active form thiamin pyrophosphate (TPP) is an essential coenzyme that is synthesised by coupling of pyrimidine and thiazole moieties in bacteria. The record is from RNAcentral. Lineage: Bacteria; Pseudomonadati; Verrucomicrobiota; Verrucomicrobiia; Verrucomicrobiales; Verrucomicrobiaceae.